Pecten maximus is the source of this 249-nucleotide long non-coding RNA. RefSeq lists it as uncharacterized. NCBI's taxonomy places the organism in Eukaryota, Metazoa, Mollusca, Bivalvia, Pectinida, Pectinidae. The record is from RefSeq and is a predicted model, not a curated record. The transcript is spliced from 3 exons.
UUUACAGUCACCUUACUUUUCCUGUAUGUUCAGUGGGUCUUGGAAGGAGUCGUUCCAGUCAGAGAUCUCAGUUGAUGUAACGGAUGUGAAUAUAAACGAGGAAGCUUUGAAGAUAGCAUUUGGCUCCCUGUAUAAAGACUAUGUUUUCAUCAAACCUGUACAGGUUGUGAGUGUUUUGGCAGCUGCUAUGUUACUACAGUUGGAAGGAUUGAUUGACCAGUGUGAGUCUAUGAUGAAAGAAACAAUCAG